This 661-nucleotide ribosomal RNA is filed under the name uncultured bacterium. RNAcentral's name for it is "bacterial SSU rRNA". The stretch from base 1 to 554 matches the Rfam family "Bacterial small subunit ribosomal RNA", at positions 338 to 873 of the family's 1533-position model. The record is from RNAcentral.
CCUACGGGAGGCAGCAGUAGGGAAUCUUCGGCAAUGGACGAAAGUCUGACCGAGCAACGCCGCGUGAGUGAAGAAGGUUUUCGGAUCGUAAAACUCUGUUGUUAGAGAAGAACAAGGACGUUAGUAACUGAACGUCCCCUGACGGUAUCUAACCAGAAAGCCACGGCUAACUACGUGCCAGCAGCCGCGGUAAUACGUAGGUGGCAAGCGUUGUCCGGAUUUAUUGGGCGUAAAGCGAGCGCAGGCGGUUUCUUAAGUCUGAUGUGAAAGCCCCCGGCUCAACCGGGGAGGGUCAUUGGAAACUGGGAGACUUGAGUGCAGAAGAGGAGAGUGGAAUUCCAUGUGUAGCGGUGAAAUGCGUAGAUAUAUGGAGGAACACCAGUGGCGAAGGCGGCUCUCUGGUCUGUAACUGACGCUGAGGCUCGAAAGCGUGGGGAGCAAACAGGAUUAGAUACCCUGGUAGUCCACGACGUAACGAUAGAGUGCUAGUAGUUGGUAGGGUUCCGGUCCGUUCUAGUGUCGUGCAGACAACGACGAUUAAGACGACCUCCGCCGUCGGGGAGGGUACGGUAACCGGCCGAAGGUUAGGUUAAACGUACGAAAGGUUAAAGUUAGUUACGGCGUUGAGGACGUUGCCGACGGACGACGACGAGGGAGGAGG